UCUGGUGCAGCCAGGGCAUUUCAGAGCAGUGAGAGCAGGGGGUGACACGGGCUGAACACUUGGGACAGAGCUGGAGCACGCCUUAGAACAAGGGACAUGAAGUGGAGGAGAAAGCAGAGCUGAGGAGGAUGAAGUGGGGAACCAAGCAAGUGGCAUUACAGGUAGGCCAAAAUUGGGAUUGAGCAAGAGAGAUCAAAGUAAACUGGAGCUAAAUGCAGCUGAGAGAAAUAUGAAACUAAUUUACAAAACCCCAAGUCGCUUUAUGAUCUGAACAAGAGAGAUCAGUGCUGGAAACUGCAACACGGUUCCUACAUGGCAAAGGCAAGAACACUGAGAGGAAUGGUUCAGCAAAUUACUUGCAUAUGAGCCAGUCCAGGCAGUAAAUGGUUCAUCUGAUAAUUUGCUGCUUUAAAUGUGGAGCUGAGUUGGUCUUUGUGUUUUCAUACUUGCUGUCUCUGUUUAGUGACACUUUCAAAUUGCAGUUUGAAAUGACUUUGUAAUAUUGUCUUCCUAGGGACAAUUACCUCUUCA
Serinus canaria (Common canary) is the source of this 531-nucleotide long non-coding RNA. RefSeq lists it as uncharacterized. The record is from RefSeq and is a predicted model, not a curated record. Lineage: Eukaryota; Metazoa; Chordata; Aves; Passeriformes; Fringillidae. The transcript has 2 exons.